This is a long non-coding RNA of Dioscorea cayenensis subsp. rotundata (Guinea yam), 863 nucleotides long. RefSeq lists it as uncharacterized. NCBI's taxonomy places the organism in Eukaryota, Viridiplantae, Streptophyta, Magnoliopsida, Dioscoreales, Dioscoreaceae. The transcript is spliced from 2 exons. The record is from RefSeq and is a predicted model, not a curated record.
ACUUGUAUUGCAAUAUGUUUGCUAUUUUAGUUUACAUUUGAUUUUGGUCUUGUUUACAUUUGCACUUGCUCUUUUUGGUAGCACAUGUGGAUCUAAUCAUGGUUUGCUCCGGGUUUUAUUAUUAUAGGUUUAAUUGCUCCAAGUUUAAUUGUGUGAGGUUUAUUUGCUUGUAGUGAAUCAUGUCCAUGUCAACGGAUUAUCUAGUUGUUUUUCCCCAAGACUAAUUCAUUUAGAUAUUUGACACAUGUUGUGGUAUUCCAAGGUUUUCGAUUUAUUAAUUUUGUACUUGUGUUUUGAAACAAGCAUGUAGUGUGAGGCUUCAUACAACUCUUGGUUGCACUAGCGGGACAAUGGUUAGGGUGGAGGAACCCCUUCUUUUGUAGCCAAGGAACAACUCAAUUGAGUUGGGAAGCUACCACUUCUUAAUUGGAGUAGCCUUUUUUUUUAAGCAAUUCCAUAUGCUAUGUGAGGCAAGGAAGACAAGUUUUGAGGGAAAAAGAAUGAGAAUGCAUGAGAGCUAAACAAGAAGGAAAAGAGUAGUCCAGAGACAUACACAAUAGUGCUUAAGCCGUGCUCAAGCUGUGCAGAUCACAAGAACUGGGAAUUCAAAAUUCAUUGAGCCAACACUACCUCUUUUCUCCUCUUCACUAAACCAACUCCUUACACAGUCAUGCUUCAGGCCAUGCUUCACCUGUGCAAAUCUCUAAAGAUGGAUUUUUCGCGUGGUUCGGGCCCCGAAAUUCUCCAUUAAAGUGCACGACUGUGCAUAAGUCAAAUCUGCAUAUUUAAGCCCAAAAGUUAGACUAUUGAGAGGACUUUUUGUUGGAGAAUAAAGGAAAUGGCUAGGGUUUUGGAAGAGAGUG